This 263-nucleotide long non-coding RNA is filed under the name Serinus canaria (Common canary). RNAcentral's name for it is "lncRNA (ENSSCAG00000015770.1)". The record is from RNAcentral. Lineage: Eukaryota; Metazoa; Chordata; Aves; Passeriformes; Fringillidae.
CUGAUUCCCAAGGCAGCAAUGAUCAGAGGGGAUGGGCUGCUCCUGUUAAAGUUCUUCUGUCAAAUUUGAGGGCUUGGUUGAUCAUUUUAUGAACCAAUUUCCUGAGAUCUCAGCACACUUCAUGCUUUGCGGUUUCUCCUGGGCUCACCUUUCAGGAGCUAUAGCCAGUGACUGCAGUAUGGCUUGACUACAUGUUUUUGCACCUGUUUUGGCUGCAAUGUUCAGAGGUUUGUCUUGUGGGUCCAAGCAGUCCUGUCUGGAUG